AUGAAGAUAAGAAGCAUAGUUAUGCUUGGCCUUAACGUCUGUCAACUUGAACACCAGCUGUUUGAUCAUUUUUUUCCCAGCUUCUUCGAAGGAUGUUUUGAGUUUAUCUCCAUUAAUGGACCCUCUUUGAUCUGCAACUGUUGCCCAUCAAAGAUACUCUUGCUCCUUCAGAUCCGUAACUGUUUGCUACUUCACCGUCACAGUCUGAUCAUUUGGCUUCUUCACAAUUUGCAUUUGAAAGAAUAUACCUAA
Vicia faba (fava bean) is the source of this 252-nucleotide non-coding RNA. The record is from the annotation of a GenBank genome assembly. NCBI's taxonomy places the organism in Eukaryota, Viridiplantae, Streptophyta, Magnoliopsida, Fabales, Fabaceae.